GUCAAUUAUAAACCAGUCAGGUCUUUAUAUAUGCCUAAUUUCCUCUCAACCAUCAGAAGAGAAAGAAGAAUACUUCAGCUUUGAAAACAAGUGUCUUCUUCCUCAUAAUUCCAGCAGUCGCAAUGGUUUUCUCUGUACCUCAGAGGAUCCUCCUGAUCUGCCUGCUGCAGUUUUGCACUUGUGCAGUCGGUCAGAAUGUGAACCCAAAAACUCUCAUGAAUAUUGUAAAGAACUUUGAGAAUAAGUUGUCUGGCAUGGGACAAUAUGCUGUCGCUUUCAGAGUCGAGAAGAACAAAUGUCAAGAUCCCAACUAUGACGGUCAGGAAUUAAUAACUAGACAAGUGAAAGAAAAACUCAAUAACAAUGAAGUUUUUGUAAGUGGUGAGCUUAUCGCUGCAAGGGCUGAAAUAAAUAAACAAGAUCAUUCAGAGUUUCGCCUGAGGAAUUAUCUGAAGAAAAUCUUGAAUGUAAAAAAUCAAUGUGUGAUUUAUUUCACUGUAAAUUCACCCUGUUUGGAUAAAUGCAUAUCAGAAACCUGGCAAUACAACAUUAGAGGUAAUCUGAGAAAUUUAGAAAAAUAUAAAGGAAUUAAAGCCUUUGCAUUCAAAUUAUUUUGGAUACGUGAUGAAAUUGUGGAUGUUACAAGGACACUUAAGGAAAUUUCUCCUUCUUUGCCAUAUUAUCAUUGUGAGCAAAACAAUGCUGAAUGUGAUCGCCUGUGAGUAGAGCGAUGCUUAUGCUGAACAGUUGCUUUCUUCACACACAUAGCUGAGGGUUUUGGUUCUGUUUUAAUUGCAGUAAACAUUACGAUUGGCAAAUAAAAUCUGUAUUCUGUUAAAUUCAUAAAUUGUGAUCUUGUGUGCUUGAGUAGACGCCAGCUCUGUUACAAUUCCUGUUUUGUGUUCAAGGAAUAAAUGUUCUUGCACCUGG
Carassius gibelio (silver crucian carp) is the source of this 930-nucleotide long non-coding RNA. RefSeq lists it as uncharacterized. NCBI's taxonomy places the organism in Eukaryota, Metazoa, Chordata, Actinopteri, Cypriniformes, Cyprinidae. The record is from RefSeq and is a predicted model, not a curated record. The transcript has 3 exons.